Molecule: ribosomal RNA, 226 nt
Filed under: uncultured bacterium
Lineage: Bacteria
Description: partial 16S ribosomal RNA
Rfam family: Bacterial small subunit ribosomal RNA
Source: RNAcentral
UACGGAGGGUGCAAGCGUUGUCCGGAAUCACUGGCGUAAAGGGCGCGUAGGCGGCUCAUGAAGGCUGUGGUGAAAGUCCGGGCUCAACCUCGGAUCGGCCGUGGCGACUCGUGGGCUGGAGCACUGUAGAGGCGGGUGGAAUUCCGGGUGUAGCGGUGGAAUGCGUAGAGAUCCGGAAGAACACCAGUGGCGAAGGCGGCCCGCUGGGCAGUGGCUGACGCUGAGG